This 464-nucleotide ribosomal RNA is filed under the name uncultured bacterium. RNAcentral's name for it is "partial 16S ribosomal RNA". It matches the Rfam family "Bacterial small subunit ribosomal RNA", at positions 29 to 507 of the family's 1533-position model. The record is from RNAcentral.
ACGAACGCUGGCGGCGUGCUUAACACAUGCAAGUCGAACGGAAAGGCCCUGCUUGCAGGGUACUCGAGUGGCGAACGGGUGAGUAACACGUGGGUGAUCUGCCCUGCACUUCGGGAUAAGCCUGGGAAACUGGGUCUAAUACCGGAUAGGAGCCAUUUUUAGUGUGAUGGUUGGAAAGUUUUUUCGGUGUAGGAUGAGCUCGCGGCCUAUCAGCUUGUUGGUGGGGUAAUGGCCUACCAAGGCGGCGACGGGUAGCCGGCCUGGGAGGGUGGACGGCCACAUUGGGACUGAGAUACGGCCCAGACUCCUACGGGAGGCAGCAGUGGGGAAUAUUGCACAAUGGGCGCAAGCCUGAUGCAGCGACGCCGCGUGGGGGAUGACGGCCUUCGGGUUGUAAACUCCUUUCGCUAGGGACGAAGCUUUUUGUGACGGUACCUAGAGAAGAAGCACCGGCUAACUACGUG